UACAGAGGUCUCAAGCGUUUGUUCGGAUUCAUUGGGCGUAAAGGGUGCGUAGGCGGCGCGGUAAGUCGGGUGUGAAAUCUCGGGGCUUAACUCCGAAACUGCAUUCGAUACUGCCGUGCUUGAGGACUGGAGAGGAGACUGGAAUUUACGGUGUAGCGGUGAAAUGCGUAGAUAUCGUAAGGAAGACCAGUGGCGAAGGCGGGUCUCUGGACAGUUCCUGACGCUGAGGCACGAAGGCCAGGGGAGCAAACGGG
This 254-nucleotide ribosomal RNA is filed under the name uncultured bacterium. RNAcentral describes it as "partial 16S ribosomal RNA". It matches the Rfam family "Bacterial small subunit ribosomal RNA", at positions 524 to 776 of the family's 1533-position model. The record is from RNAcentral.